RNAcentral lists this long non-coding RNA (1541 nucleotides) under Panax ginseng (ginseng). RNAcentral's name for it is "long non-coding RNA (PGIN_LNC003028)". The record is from RNAcentral. Lineage: Eukaryota; Viridiplantae; Streptophyta; Magnoliopsida; Apiales; Araliaceae.
AGAUAUUAUUGAGCAAUGACGGUCAGUUAGGUCAUAGCAUAUUACCGUGCUGUGAAACCCUAAUUAUUAAACUCAGUUAUGAUAAAUGACUGAGUAGUAUAUGAAGUUCACUGUGUAUAUGAAGUUACUGUGUACACGAAUGUCGGUAAUUAGAAGAAAAACCCUAAUUACUAUUUUUACGCUGAUAACUAGGACAAACCCUAAUUAUUACAACCCUAAUCGGUUGAAGUUAGAGAUCGUAAUGACUGUGUUAGAUCAUACACAGAUAAUUAGAGAACCCUAAUGGUCAAUUAGAAAACCCUAAUUGAUAACGUUAAGAAACCCUAAUUAGAAAACCCUAAUUUUCUAUAGAAAACCCUAAUUUAAAAUUAUCGGGUUUAAUUACGAUGUUAUUAUAUAAAUGUUUUAAUUUACCAAAUGAUAGAAAUUAAUUGGUAAAUGGUAAGAAUUAUAAUCUAAUGGUUAAAUAUUACAUUUAAUGGCCUUUUACAAAAAUGCCCUUGGAAUUAUAUGUGAAAUGACCAAAAUACCCUUUUUGUCAUUUUAGUGUAUUAUUACUUACAUUGUUGAUGGGAUCUUGCAACAAGGAUGCCCAACAUGCUUACCCUACAUGCUAUCAGCUCUCAAACAAGGGAAUCAUCCCACUUUAGCAUCCAAGGUAUUUAAAAUUUUUUUUUUUAAAUUAAAGGAAAGGGAAAAUGCAUUAUUUAUGUCUUAUUGCUACCACUUGUCCACAAAAUCCGGCCAAUCCAUCUAGAAAUUACCUAUGGGCUGUAGUAUUACCAUCAAUCAGCCACUAUAAUCAUUUCAUGCAUUAUUUUAUGGAUUCAAGAGAGAGAAAUGCACCAUUUUUGGCCUAUUUAUACACAAGCACUUAGCUUCAUUCUCCCAAGCUUAAACCUACGAAAUUCUCUUAACAUAUCAGUCUAUAAACAAGCCCCAUUCACACCAAUAACAAAUCAGUAGCCAAAAAUCAGAAUCAAAGCAUAAAAAGGUAUAAACCCUAGCUUGAUUUUUCUUAAACUUUUUGGUGUUAGAUGUUAUGUUUAAAUGUUAAAACAUGUUGAUUAUAGUGUCUAAGGAUGAUCUGGGUUGCUUGAUGUUGAUUCCAUAACAUUCAGAAGCUCGGAUUUGAAGAUCUUUAAAAUCUGGAAAUUUUCAUUUUUGUGUUCUGACAACGAAUGUCAGAGGCUGUAGAUCCCAUCCUGUUAAGAGUUUUUGAUGUUUAAAGCUUGCUAUGUGUAGCCUGGUAUGUUGUCUUUAUUCUGCAAAAGGAAUCAUGGUCAUAUCUGUUGUAGAUUAGAAGUUAUUUAUGGUCAAACUACCAUUGACCGAACUGCUCAAGAACAUUUCUGGGUUUUCCAGAAAUGUUCAAGAACAGUUGUUGAGGUCACAUUUGACCGGCCUCUUUCUACUGGAUCUGUUGUUGUUAUAUGUCUUAUAUGUAAUAGAGUUGUAGUAUUACAUGUUAUCUACAACCUGGAAUCAAUAGAUCACUUAGAUCAAACUCAGAAUGAAAGAUAUAAAGAUCCAAAGUAGCC